This 451-nucleotide ribosomal RNA is filed under the name uncultured bacterium. RNAcentral describes it as "bacterial SSU rRNA". It matches the Rfam family "Bacterial small subunit ribosomal RNA", at positions 29 to 506 of the family's 1533-position model. The record is from RNAcentral.
ACAAACGCUGGCGGCGUGCCUAAUACAUGCAAGUCGAACGAGGUAGCAAUACCUAGUGGCGCACGGGUGAGUAACGCGUGAGUAAUCUUCCUUAGAGUGGGGGAUAACCAGUCGAAAGAUUGGCUAAUACCGCAUAUGACCACAGGAUCUGCGGAUCUAGGGGUAAAAGGUUUUUCGCUCUAAGAUGAGCUCGCGUAAGAUUAGCUAGUUGGUGAGGUAACGGCUCACCAAGGCAACGAUCUUUAACAGGUCUGAGAGGAUGAUCUGUCACACUGGAACUGAGACACGGUCCAGACUCCUACGGGAGGCAGCAGUAGGGAAUAUUGCACAAUGGAGGAAACUCUGAUGCAGCGACGCCGCGUGAGUGAUGAAGGACUUCGGUUCGUAAAGCUCUGUCGUAUGGGAAUAAGAAAGUGAAUGUACCAUGCAAGAAAGGAUCGGCUAACUUCGU